This is a long non-coding RNA of Anastrepha ludens (Mexican fruit fly), 571 nucleotides long. RefSeq lists it as uncharacterized. NCBI's taxonomy places the organism in Eukaryota, Metazoa, Arthropoda, Insecta, Diptera, Tephritidae. The transcript has 2 exons. The record is from RefSeq and is a predicted model, not a curated record.
UUCAGUUACAGACGAGUUUCAGAGCAGUGCGGUUCGAAUCAAUCGUGAUCGUUACAGAGGUUUGCCCAUUCGUGCGGUAGUGAUACAUACCAAAUUUGCUAGCUCAUAAACAUUUCAACGGCAAAUGAUCCUACAGAAGUGAACUUAGACGACUUGUAUAUAUGAAUGUCUGCGUGGAUUUAGUGAAAACACAAUAAGUCAUAUGCGUGAAUGGAAAACUAACUAAAGCAAUUAUUUGAAUAGCGCAUUAAAUAUAUAAGUAAUUUCAUUAAGGAAAAGUUGGCGAGCAAACAUAAAAGAAAUUGUGAAAUUGUGAAAGUUCAUUGAAAUUGAGACCGGAAAUACAAAUCAUACAUACAUAUACUCGUAUGUACAUAAAUAAGUGCAUACAUAAGUGGCAAAAAUCGUUUGAACAAGCAGCGAAACAAACCAAUAAAAGAUAAUCAACCAAAAAACACGCACAUUUUCAUAAAAAAGUUGAAAACUGCGCGAUUCGUAAUUCAUAGUAGUGCUACAGUAAAGGAUUAACAAAAACAAAAUCUAGCGUGCAAAAUCUGUGAACCGGAACAUA